GGCUAGUCUGAGGGCAGUGGUGUUUAUAACUAAUUGAUCACAACUAGUUACAGAUUUCUUUGUGUCUUCUUCACUCCCACUGCCUCACUUGACUAGCCUUAA
Molecule: Y RNA, 102 nt
Filed under: Callithrix jacchus (white-tufted-ear marmoset)
Lineage: Eukaryota; Metazoa; Chordata; Mammalia; Primates; Cebidae
Description: Y RNA (ENSCJAG00000072955.1)
Rfam family: Y RNA
About the family: Y RNAs are components of the Ro ribonucleoprotein particle (Ro RNP), in association with Ro60 and La proteins. The Y RNAs and Ro60 and La proteins are well conserved, but the function of the Ro RNP is not known.
Source: Rfam by way of RNAcentral